This 159-nucleotide small RNA is filed under the name Tolypocladium inflatum. Lineage: Eukaryota; Fungi; Ascomycota; Sordariomycetes; Hypocreales; Ophiocordycipitaceae. The record is from RNAcentral.
CCGAGUUAUCAACUCCCAAACCCCUGUGAACAUACCCAACGUUGCUUCGGCGGGACCGCCCCGGCGCCUCGGCGUCCCGGAACCAGGCGCCCCGCCCGGAGGACCCAAACUCUUGUUUAACCAUAGUGGCAUAUUCUGAGUCUCACAAGAAAAAUGAAU